RNAcentral lists this ribosomal RNA (465 nucleotides) under Vreelandella stevensii. Its description in RNAcentral is "partial 16S ribosomal RNA". It matches the Rfam family "Bacterial small subunit ribosomal RNA", at positions 338 to 795 of the family's 1533-position model. Lineage: Bacteria; Pseudomonadati; Pseudomonadota; Gammaproteobacteria; Oceanospirillales; Halomonadaceae. The record is from RNAcentral.
CCUACGGGGGGCUGCAGUGGGGAAUAUUGGACAAUGGGGGCAACCCUGAUCCAGCCAUGCCGCGUGUGUGAAGAAGGCCCUCGGGUUGUAAAGCACUUUCAGUGAGGAAGAACGCCUGGUGGUUAAUACCCAUCAGGAAAGACAUCACUCACAGAAGAAGCACCGGCUAACUCCGUGCCAGCAGCCGCGGUAAUACGGAGGGUGCGAGCGUUAAUCGGAAUUACUGGGCGUAAAGCGCGCGUAGGUGGCUUGAUAAGCCGGUUGUGAAAGCCCCGGGCUCAACCUGGGAACGGCAUCCGGAACUGUCAAGCUAGAGUGCAGGAGAGGAAGGUAGAAUUCCCGGUGUAGCGAUGAAAUGCGUAGAGAUCGGGAGGAAUACCAGUGGCGAAGGCGGCCUUCUGGACUGACACUGACACUGAGGUGCGAAAGCGUGGGUAGCAAACAGGAUUAGAUACCCCAGUAGUC